GAUGAACGCUAGCUACAGGCUUAACACAUGCAAGUCGAGGGGAAACGACAUUGGAAGCUUGCUUCCUUUGGGCGUCGACCGGCGCACGGGUGAGUAACGCGUAUCCAACCUUCCCGCAAGUAAGGGAUAACCCGUAGAAAUGCGGCCUAAUACCUUAUGUUUUCCUUAGAGGGCAUCUGAUGAGGAACAAAGAUCCGUCGCUUGCGGAUGGGGAUGCGCCUGAUUAGUUAGUCGGCGGGGUAACGGCCCACCGAGACGACGAUCAGUAGGGGUUCUGAGAGGAAAGUCCCCCACAUUGGAACUGAGACACGGUCCAAAACUCCUACGGGAGGCAGCAGUGAGGAAUAUUGGUCAAUGGGCGUGAGCCUGAACCAGCCAAGUAGCGUGCGGGACGAAGGCCCUAUGGGUUGUAAACCGCUUUUUCAGGGGGGAUAAAGUGAGUGACGUGUCAUUCAUUGCAGGUACCCUGCGAAUAAGGACCGGCUAAUUCCGUG
This 494-nucleotide ribosomal RNA is filed under the name uncultured bacterium. Its description in RNAcentral is "bacterial SSU rRNA". It matches the Rfam family "Bacterial small subunit ribosomal RNA", at positions 28 to 507 of the family's 1533-position model. The record is from RNAcentral.